AAGAAAAGGCGUUACCAGAAGCAAGACAGUGAAAACAAGAGUGAGGCCAAGGAACAGAGCAAUGACGAUUAUGUUUUGGAAAAGCUUUUCAAAAAAUCAGUUGGCGUGCACAGUGUCAUGAAGCACGAUGCCAUCAUGGAUGGAGCCAGCCCAGAUUAUGUACUGGUGGAGGCAGAAGCCAACCGAGUGGCCCAGGAUGCCCUGAAAGCACUGAGGCUCUCUCGUCAGCGGUGUCUGGGAGCAGUGUCUGGUGUUCCCACCUGGACUGGCCACAGGGGGAUUUCUGGUGCACCAGCAGGAAAAAAGAGUAGAUUUGGUAAGAAAAGGAAUUCUAACUUCUCUGUGCAGCAUCCUUCAUCAACAUCUCCAACAGAGAAGUGCCAGGUAAUAUAGAUAACCUUUUUGCUUUCCAGGGUGAGACUUGCUUGAUUGAAUGCUGUGAAAAUUUCACCUGAUUCUGGAUGUGAAGAAAAUGGUCAUCUCUGGUGUAAUGACACCUGAUAUUUGUGUUGCGUGCUCUGAUUUACAAUGCACAUUCACUUGAAUCUAAAAGGACCUGCUGAUUUCCUAAAGACAAAGUCUUUAACCCAAGAUCCGUAACAGCAUUUCUGUUUUGCCAUUAGAAGGUUGACACAGGGAUAGGUGUGUCGCUGCUAGGACAGCCUGCCUUGUCUAGAGGGAAAGUGCCAGCUCCAGAGACCACAACCCUCUGAAAUAAAGGUCCAGAAAACUG
This 733-nucleotide small RNA is filed under the name Pan troglodytes (chimpanzee). RNAcentral describes it as "processed transcript". The record is from RNAcentral. Lineage: Eukaryota; Metazoa; Chordata; Mammalia; Primates; Hominidae.